GAUGAACGCUGGCGGCGUGCCUAAUACAUGCAAGUCGAGCGAACGGACGAGAAGCUUGCUUCUCUGAUGUUAGCGGCGGACGGGUGAGUAACACGUGGAUAACCUACCUAUAAGACUGGGAUAACUUCGGGAAACCGGAGCUAAUACCGGAUAAUAUUUUGAACCGCAUGGUUCAAAAGUGAAAGACGGUCUUGCUGUCACUUAUAGAUGGAUCCGCGCUGCAUUAGCUAGUUGGUAAGGUAACGGCUUACCAAGGCAACGAUGCAUAGCCGGCCUGAGAGGGUGAUCGGCCACACUGGAACUGAGACACGGUCCAGACUCCUACGGGAGGCAGCAGUAGGGAAUCUUCCGCAAUGGGCGAAAGCCUGACGGAGCAACGCCGCGUGAGUGAUGAAGGUCUUCGGAUCGUAAAACUCUGUUGUUAGGGAAGAACAUAUGUGUAAGUAACUGUGCACAUCUUGACGGUACCUAAUCAGAAAGCCACGGCUAACUACGUGCCAGCAGCCGCGGUAAUACGUAGGUGGCAAGCGUUAUCCGGAAUUAUUGGGCGUAAAGCGCGCGUAGGCGGUUUUUUAAGUCUGAUGUGAAAGCCCACGGCUCAACCGUGGAGGGUCAUUGGAAACUGGAAAACUUGAGUGCAGAAGAGGAAAGUGGAAUUCCAUGUGUAGCGGUGAAAUGCGCAGAGAUAUGGAGGAACACCAGUGGCGAAGGCGACUUUCUGGUCUGUAACUGACGCUGAUGUGCGAAAGCGUGGGGAUCGAACAGGAUUAGAUACCCUGGUAGUCCACGCCGUAAACGAUGAGUGCUAAGUGUUAGGGGGUUUCCGCCCCUUAGUGCUGCAGCUAACGCAUUAAGCACUCCGCCUGGGGAGUACGACCGCAAGGUUGAAACUCAAAGGAAUUGACGGGGACCCGCACAAGCGGUGGAGCAUGUGGUUUAAUUCGAAGCAACGCGAAGAACCUUACCAAAUCUUGACAUCCUUUGACAACUCUAGAGAUAGAGCCUUCCCCUUCGGGGGACAAAGUGACAGGUGGUGCAUGGUUGUCGUCAGCUCGUGUCGUGAGAUGUUGGGUUAAGUCCCGCAACGAGCGCAACCCUUAAGCUUAGUUGCCAUCAUUAAGUUGGGCACUCUAAGUUGACUGCCGGUGACAAACCGGAGGAAGGUGGGGAUGACGUCAAAUCAUCAUGCCCCUUAUGAUUUGGGCUACACACGUGCUACAAUGGACAAUACAAAGGGCAGCGAAACCGCGAGGUCAAGCAAAUCCCAUAAAGUUGUUCUCAGUUCGGAUUGUAGUCUGCAACUCGACUACAUGAAGCUGGAAUCGCUAGUAAUCGUAGAUCAGCAUGCUACGGUGAAUACGUUCCCGGGUCU
This 1372-nucleotide ribosomal RNA is filed under the name uncultured bacterium. RNAcentral describes it as "bacterial SSU rRNA". It matches the Rfam family "Bacterial small subunit ribosomal RNA", at positions 28 to 1381 of the family's 1533-position model. The record is from RNAcentral.